RNAcentral lists this transfer RNA (69 nucleotides) under Tritodynamia horvathi. RNAcentral's name for it is "tRNA-His". It matches the Rfam family "tRNA". From Rfam's summary of the family: Transfer RNA (tRNA) molecules are approximately 80 nucleotides in length. Their secondary structure includes four short double-helical elements and three loops (D, anti-codon, and T loops). The record is from RNAcentral. Lineage: Eukaryota; Metazoa; Arthropoda; Malacostraca; Decapoda; Varunidae.
UACUCAAAUAGUUUAAAUUAAAAUGUUAGCUUGUGGCGCUUAAGAGUGUAUAAAAAAUACUUUGGGUAG